UUUUUUUAACCUAACUGCUACCGCCCGCGACCGCAAACGCUUGCGGGAAAGAGCUUUCAAAAAUUGGCGAUUUCGAACGGUCCAAAGCGAUAUCUAGCGGUUUCUAUGAUUGGUGUCAAUCGCUAACAACCGUUACCAACUGCAAACGCUGGGUUUGCGGGUGGUAGAGGGAGAACCAAUCAAACCCUAAAUGUGUGUGACCACUGACCACACCAGCCA
Molecule: small RNA, 219 nt
Filed under: Arabidopsis thaliana (thale cress)
Lineage: Eukaryota; Viridiplantae; Streptophyta; Magnoliopsida; Brassicales; Brassicaceae
Description: ATSL072330
Source: RNAcentral